Molecule: transfer RNA, 70 nt
Filed under: Melanoides tuberculata
Lineage: Eukaryota; Metazoa; Mollusca; Gastropoda; Thiaridae
Description: tRNA-Trp
Source: RNAcentral
AAGAUCUUAAGUUAACCAUCAAACUAUGGGCCUUCAAAGCCUGAAAUAGGUCUAUUAUACCUAGAUCUUG